RNAcentral lists this ribosomal RNA (461 nucleotides) under uncultured bacterium. RNAcentral's name for it is "partial 16S ribosomal RNA". It matches the Rfam family "Bacterial small subunit ribosomal RNA", at positions 338 to 795 of the family's 1533-position model. The record is from RNAcentral.
CCUACGGGUGGCAGCAGUGAGGAAUAUUGGUCAAUGGGCGGAAGCCUGAACCAGCCAAGUCGCGUGAGGGAAUAAGGCCCUACGGGUCGUAAACCUCUUUUGCCGGGGAGCAAGGGCGGGGACGUGUCCCGCCCCGGAGAGUACCCGGAGAAAAAGCAUCGGCUAACUCCGUGCCAGCAGCCGCGGUAAUACGGAGGGUGCGAGCGUUAUCCGGAUUUAUUGGGGGUAAAGGGAGCGUAGGUGGAUUGUUAAGUCAGUUGUGAAAGUGUGCGGCUCACCCGUAAAAUUGCAGUUGAUACUGGCAGUCUUGAGUACAGGAGAGGUGGGCGGAAUUCGUGGUGUAGCGGUGAAAUGCGUAGAUAUCACGAGGAACUCCGAUUGCGAAGGCAGCUCACUGGACAGUAACUGACACUGAUGCACGAAAGUGUGGGUAUCAAACAGGAUUAGAUACCCUUGUAGUC